UUACGGCCAUGUAACGUUGUAACACCGGUUCCCGUACAAUCCCCGAAGUUAAACAAUGUCGAGCCUGGUCAGUACCUAGAAGGGGGAUCGCUUGUAAAUAUCAGGUGCUGUAAG
Acanthosepion pharaonis is the source of this 114-nucleotide non-coding RNA. NCBI's taxonomy places the organism in Eukaryota, Metazoa, Mollusca, Cephalopoda, Sepiida, Sepiidae. The record is from the annotation of a GenBank genome assembly.